RNAcentral lists this unclassified non-coding RNA (692 nucleotides) under Portunus trituberculatus (swimming crab). Its description in RNAcentral is "uncharacterized LOC123504596, transcript variant X4". The record is from RNAcentral. Lineage: Eukaryota; Metazoa; Arthropoda; Malacostraca; Decapoda; Portunidae.
CUCACCAUGGUUUGCAUUGUUCAAAUCACAGAUAAUGAAGCCUCGCUGACCCAAAACAGACCAAUAUGUGGUAGUCGAGGGUUGAGGAGUGUAACCGGUAGCUUGAUGUUUGCAGGACAAGGAAGUGGAAACUGUGGUGGUCCCAAGACACUGAGUUCUAGUGUACGAUUUAGUUUCUCUACACCUGUGGGUCAGGCUCCGGUUCAUCCACCCAUCAUGAUGGUCCAGCAACCGCAGCCGCCGCCGCCCCCGCCGCAGCAACAGACCAUAAUAAUGGGCGGGGCCCCAGCAGCUGAAGCAACAGGAGACUGCCCGAUCUGUAAGAUUUCGUGGGACAAUGAUUACAAUAGGACAACCAGCUCCACCCUCCACCACUGUCAUAGUGCAAGCUGCGGCGCCUCCUCUCAAACGCAAACAGCCAAGGGGAAACUGCCCACGCUGUAAGAAAGCGGACUUGGAGAAAAGGAAUCCUCCCCCAUUGUUUAUCCUCAUCCUGUGUAUGACCUGCGUCGGUAUCCUGUGUAUCCCGCUCUUGAUGACAAAGGAGUGCCCGAAGUAAGGUUCUGUAUUGAAGAGUCUCAAAAGCGAAAUAAGAAACUCACACAUGAAUAUAAAAACUUCCAAGAACUCCACAAAUUGCUAUGUACGUACCAGAGUGAAGGUGUGUCCCAGGAGAAACUUCUAGUGGAUAU